GACGAACGCUGGCGGCGUGCUUAAUACAUGCAAGUCAACUGAACUUAAAGUAGCAAUAUUUUGAGGGAGGUGGCGCACGGGUGAGUAACACGUAGGUAAUCUGCCUUUAGGUCUGACAUAAUUCCGCGAAAACGGGACUAAUAUCAGAUGAUGCAGCGGCUCGACAUCGAGACAGUUGUUAAACCUUCGGGGCCUAAAGAUGAGCCUGCGUCUGAUUAGGUAGNGGCGGAGUAAAAGACCCACCAAGCCUGCGAUCAGUAGCUGGUCUGAGAGGAUGAUCGGCCACACUGGGACUGAGACACGGCCCAGACUCCUACGGGAGGCAGCAGUGGGGAAUUUUUCGCAAUGGGGAAACCCUGACGAAGCAACGCCGCGUGGAGGAUGAAGGCC
RNAcentral lists this ribosomal RNA (390 nucleotides) under uncultured bacterium. RNAcentral's name for it is "bacterial SSU rRNA". It matches the Rfam family "Bacterial small subunit ribosomal RNA", at positions 28 to 416 of the family's 1533-position model. The record is from RNAcentral.